GAUGAAGAACGUAGCGAAAUGCGAUAAGUAAUGUGAAUUGCAGAAUUCAGUGAAUCAUCGAAUCUUUGAACGCACCUUGUGCUCCUUGGUAUUCCGAGGAGCAUGCCUGUUUGAGUGUCAUUAAAUUCUCAAUCUCUACAGCCUUUGUGUUGUUUGGAUUGGAUGUGGGGGUUUCUGUGUGGGAUAUGCCAUUCUUCACUCCCCUAAAAUAUAUUAGCUGGAAUGCCUCUGCAUAUCUGACUAUUAGUGUGAUAAUUAUCUACGCUCUAGUUAUUGCAUGGGAGGGUAUCUGCUUCAUUAAUUGUCGAAAAGACAACCUAAUGAUCACCUUUGACCUCAAAUCAGGUAGGAUUACCCGCUGAACUUAAGCAUAUCAAUAAGCGGAGGA
RNAcentral lists this unclassified non-coding RNA (388 nucleotides) under soil metagenome. RNAcentral describes it as "partial contains 5.8S ribosomal RNA, internal transcribed spacer 2, and large subunit ribosomal RNA". The stretch from base 1 to 120 matches the Rfam family "5.8S ribosomal RNA", at positions 35 to 154 of the family's 154-position model. The record is from RNAcentral.